GUGGCAUUACUAUUAACUAAUGAGUUUUGUACUCAAUAAUUCCUGACGGAAUACUCUUUUUCAUCUUGUUCAGUUUAUUUUCAGUAUAAACUCCACGUCUGCUUUUUUUCUGCUAAAAAAUCAACCUUUCCAUGAAAUAUCAUGUGAGAUCAUUUAAGAAAAUUUAACUUCUGUAUACUGUUGACACUGAGGUUGUGAGUUCAAAACCUGAACAUGGCCAACUCUUAUCAUAAUUGUCUAGGAGUCAGUUUUCUUAAUGAAGCUUAAGGUUGGUCAUCAUCUCAAAGCACCUCAGCUUCGAUUCCUCCUCCAAUAAAUAUUAGACUGCUAUGAAAAGAAAAUGCAUGUUGAAAGUGGUGUUAAACUCGAAAAAUAAGUCAAUGUCAGAAUCAUUCAUAACCUCACUCACAGUAUAGAGUGUAAAGGAAUUUUUUUUUUUCACCAAAAUUUGUCUCCAUGAACUUUCAAGCCAACC
This 475-nucleotide long non-coding RNA is filed under the name Mytilus galloprovincialis (Mediterranean mussel). The record is from RNAcentral. Lineage: Eukaryota; Metazoa; Mollusca; Bivalvia; Mytilida; Mytilidae.